Molecule: non-coding RNA, 485 nt
Organism: Lolium perenne
Lineage: Eukaryota; Viridiplantae; Streptophyta; Magnoliopsida; Poales; Poaceae
Source: RefSeq, a predicted model, not a curated record
CAUCGAAGGGAUCACGGUUAUGCUCCAAGGUCUUGCGUCGCUACUCAGUAUACGAAGGGAAAAGACUCAAGCAUGCAUGGGUGGGUCCCUUGCUCAUGUAGUCAUGUUCAUGGAUCUUGAUACGUGGAUAGGUUUACUUAUUUGUUGGAUUUCUCUUCAUGGAUUCAUGGAUCUCCUCCCAUACCUUUUGUUAGCUCAAACUCAAUUCAUGGGUGGAAACACACUCAUGAUUGUGGCAUGUUAUUGACGGUGGUGAUGGCGAUGAUGGGUGCAAGAGAGGCGGCGGAGCUCCAACAAGCGAGCUAUAGUGAGCGAGCCGAGGACCAGGUGCAAGAGAGGUGGCGGAGCCCCAACACAUGUCGGUUGUCUACGGCCGAGCUACAGCGAGCGAGCUGAGGGCCAGGUGCAAGAGAGGCGGCGGAGCUCCACGAUCAUCGUGCUCGAGCAAGGAGGUGAGGCAGCCGGUCGUGGGAGGAGCGAGGACA